AGGCAAGAAGCAAGUAAAGCCAAGAGGAGCCACAAGUGGUCCUGAGACUAUCAGUCUCUCGGAAUUUUCAGAAAUCGUGGAAGGACCUGGAACUUCCGCAGGAUGUCAGGUUAACAUUGGGAUACCUUCUGUGGCCAAAGGAGUCAGGGAUUCCCUGGGGAGCUGAACCCAGACUCUUUCUGGCUAAAUGACUGUGCUGAGCUGCCACUUCUCCCCUGCUGUGACCACCCCGCAUGGUGCCAGGGAUGUCUGAGGACUCAGUGACCUUCAGUCUCCGGUCUUGGUUCUGGUUCCAUUAAACACAGAAAUAAAGGAACGUAGAAAGCGCCCUCGGAAGGUGCCUUAGGAGACCCACUAUUAUUUUUUUCACUUUACAGAGGAGGAAAUGAGGAUGAAAGAGAUGUCAACUGACUGGUCCACCAACAUCCAGCUGGUGAAUAGCACCCAGGCCUUGAACACUUCUGACCGGAAGCACUCCUAUCUUCCCCUCUGAACAUUACAGUUUAAAAAUUAAAGAAUGGAUCAACUCAGGCCACAAAGGAGUAGGAUUAUAUAAAGAUGAUGAUGGAGACUGAAAUAAAUUCACUUUUGUCUGAAAUAACGGUCACAAAGAGCAAGGAGUUCAAAAUUCACAUUUUGAUUUAAGUCUCUGGCUAUCAGGGUUAAAAUUAUAGCAUUUAAAAUGCCAGAGUUAAGAGAAAAAAAGGAAAUUGCUGUGUAAAGUUAGCAAAGAAAAGAGGACCAUUAAAACAGCAGGAAUGAAUCAAACCCAGAGAGCAUGAAACAAGAAGACAUCAGCCGGCUCAAACUUACCAGUUAUGACUGUGGGGAGAGGCCAAGCCUCCCGGCUCCCGUUUAACUAUAAAUCGAGACAAAGUGACAGAAAAAGGUUGGGAGUAAAAGACAGAGCAAGGAGUUACCUUAAAAAUACAAGUGAAAAGCGGCCAAGGAC
Long non-coding RNA from Equus caballus (horse), 952 nucleotides. The record is from Ensembl. Lineage: Eukaryota; Metazoa; Chordata; Mammalia; Perissodactyla; Equidae.